Long non-coding RNA from Astyanax mexicanus (Mexican tetra), 2776 nucleotides. RefSeq lists it as uncharacterized. The record is from RefSeq and is a predicted model, not a curated record. The transcript has 2 exons. Lineage: Eukaryota; Metazoa; Chordata; Actinopteri; Characiformes; Acestrorhamphidae.
UAUAUAUGUGUGUGGAUUCUUGUAGAGCUGUUUUAUCAUAUAAUUCUUCUGGGUUUUCUACAUUCAUUCUAGUCCAAAAUAAUAGUUUCUUUAAAAAAAAUUCUGAAGACAUUCAUUCUUCCAGUAAUGUUACUGCAAGCCUACUAGAAUAGCUAGCGUUAGCAAGGUCUGUAUCAUAAUGUAAUUCUAAUUUAUUUAAAUCUUUUUUUUUUGCUGUGUGUAUUGCUUAAAAUCUUAAGUCAACGUGUGUCUAAAUAAAAAGAAAUAAUCAAUAAUCAACUAAAAGCACCAAAACGAAAAGGUUAAUCCAGUUUAAAUGUCCGUUUCCUCUGUACACUGGUAUUUUUAAAAACAUCUAGCUAAUUACCUGAAGGGGGCUGUGGAUUCUCUGAACAUGUUAUUAAGCUAAACCCCUCUCAAACACUCCAACAGGUGGCGCUGUUUACCGUGAAAUGUUCCCUCCUAUAUCCCCGUCUACCGUCAUUCACAUGCAGCUCGCUUUAUGUGCUGAAAACUGGAAAUGACAGCCGGACCUCAGCAUUAAAUCCUUCCUAUUUGAUGCGGUUUUUCUCUCCUAUUUUUGGAGCUGUUUGUUUAACCCUGCAGUUUUUCUCUGGGUGAGAACCGGAGCUCUCGCUCAGCUCUCCGCGCGCCGCUCCUGUUCUGCGCUUUGAGCCUCUUUACAAUGCUGCCUUGUGGGAUCAGAAUCAAGCAGCAUUGUACAGGGCUAUGACAGCACAGAAACACACUCUUCAGACAAGGAGCCCUGCGUUUCUGGGACACGGCGGACUGCCAGGCCAUGACAGCAUCUGUACACACACAUCAGCGUCUGAGUGAGCGAGCCUGAAAUGGACAUACUGUACAGCGCUGAGGACAGGAGGCUGUCGUGGAAAUGACAGAUAAUUUGACCUCUUGUUCAUUGCUGACACAUUGCUGCUCGUGUUAAAGCUUGGCCUUGUUUCCAUUGUGUGUUUCUAGAGCUGCAAAGCAAGGAUGCCUUCAGAUUGUAAGUAUUUGGACAGUGACAUUUACAGAUUUUGACUGUGGGCUCUUGCUCAAUAAAUUGUAUUUGUUCUACUGUAUGUAAAGAUAAUAGAAAUUAUUUUACAUUUUAUACACAGGUAGAAUUUUAUCCACAGGUAUUUGUUGGGGGAAGGGUUUUGCAGCUCUUCCUGAACUGCAUUCUCGUAAGUGAUGGAGCUCUAUUUAGUACCUCUGGAUGGUGCAUUCAACAUGAUCAUCAGUAACUCAUUUACCCUACUAAGGCUCUUGUCACUAUAUGUGAUUAAAUCCUACUGUUUAUCCUACAACAUCUAGUGAAAACCCUUGAAGGAAAGAAGAUGCUUCUGCAACCCAUUUUUUAAUAACCUUGACUUUGAACAAAUCAUUGGAUGAGCAGAUGUCGAAACAUUUUUGGAGACUGUCAUGGAAAUAACAGAUCAUUUGACCUCUUGUUCAUUGCUGACACAUUGCUGCUUGUGUUAAAGCUUGGCAUUAUUUCCAUUGUGUGUUUCUAGUGCUGCAAAAAAGGAUGACUUUAAACUAUAAGUAUUUGGGCAGUGACAGUUUUUGGUUCUAGGCUCUUGCACAUUGGAUUUGAUUUGAAAUUCUUAAAUUUUGAGGAUGUUUUCAUUGCUCUACUGUAUGGAAACAUUAUAGAAAUAACAGUAAAUUUUAUACACAGGUAGAAUUUUUGUCCACAGAUAUUUGUUGGGGGAAUGGGUAUGCAGCCCUUCCUAAACUGCAUUAUCUAAUAUCUCUGAAUGGAACAACUGAUCAACAUGAUCAUCAGUACCUAAUGUAUCCCACUAAGGCUUGCGUCAAUAUAUGUGAUUAAAUUGUACUUUUACAACAGGUAUUAUGUCUUGAAGAAGAGAAGAUGCAUCUGCAACCUUUUUUUAAUACCCUUGACUUUGGGCAAACCAUUGGAUCAGCAGGUGUCUACACAUUGUUACCUACUACAGUAUAGCCCACCCAUUACAAAGGGGGCUACACUAACUGGCAAAUUAAUAUGAUUGUAAUUAGAAUUUUUAAAUGCCAACCAUUUAUUUAUAAUCACAACUUCUGCACCCAGAUGUCUGGUGAUGUCUAUUGUCUUCAACAGUUUUUGGCCUGUGGGUUUUAUCUUUAGUAAAUACGAUCAGUGCUGACUGGGAUUCAGGUCAGAUAAAUGACUUUUAAUCUAUGGUCUUGAUUAACUCCAGCCUUUUAUGUUUCAUCAGGUUUCAUCAAUUCAUUCUAGAAGUACAAGGUUUAAAGGUUGAUUCUGUAUCUGUACUAGUGAGAAUUUAUCGUGUGUUUGGAAAAAUCAAGCAAAAUGAAUGUUAUGAUUCCAUUAACAGCUAUACAUUUUAGGAACAACCAUUAAUAGCAGGUGAUGGCACGAUCAUACUCAAAUCUUUCUUUAUUCUGUCUUUGGGUGAACAGUAUGUUCCUCAACUCUUCUUCAGGACUUAGAUUUUGCUUUACCUUCUCUUUCCUUUGUGUUAGCCACUAAAGCAUAUCUGCAAUUCUAGCAAGAGUCAAAAUUGAUCAUCUGUCCACCAGGUUGCUUGGUAAUGGUGAACUCAGUGUGUGUAGUGUGAUCUGACCAAGCAGAAUGCUAUGGACUUCUUGGUUAGAAAACAACUGAACUGCCACCACAUUGCCAUCUUGUGUUUCGGUUUUACAACAGUAAUCUGUGGAAUAACUUGUGAUGUGAUAUUAAAUGACUGAAAAAUGACAUGUAAUUUCAGAUAUUCUGUCAAACCAAAUAAAGCUGAAAAAGAAUGACAUA